Molecule: ribosomal RNA, 421 nt
Filed under: Fusobacteriota bacterium
Lineage: Bacteria; Fusobacteriati; Fusobacteriota
Description: Fusobacteria bacterium partial 16S ribosomal RNA
Rfam family: Bacterial small subunit ribosomal RNA
Source: RNAcentral
UGGGGAAUAUUGCACAAUGGACGGAAGUUUGAUGCAGCGACGCCGCGUGGAGGGUGUAGGCCUUCGGGUUGUGAACUCCUUUUUCUCGCGAAAAAGGCACAGUUUUGGCUGUGUUGAUGGUAGUGGGGGAAGAAGCGCCGGCUAACUACGUGCCAGCAGCCGCGGUAAUACGUAGGGCGCGAGCGUUGUCCCGAUUUAUUGGGCGUAAAGAGCUCGUAGGUGGUUCGUCGCGUCUGUCGUGAAAGCCAGCAGCUUAACUGUUGGUCUGCGGUGGGUACGGGCGGGCUUGAGUGCGGUAGGGGUGACUGGAAUUCCUGGUGUAGCGGUGGAAUGCGCAGAUAUCAGGAGGAACACCGAUGGCGAAGGCAGGUCACUGGGCCGUUACUGACACUGAGGAGCGAAAGCGUGGGGAGCGAACAGG